GUCGCACUCUUCACACACCACACUGGCGGCACCUUUGAAAAUCGGAAGAGGUGGCGAAGGCGUGGUUUCGCCGUUUUGUAUCUUUGGUACCUUUGUAACGCCUCGAAAAUGGUGUCAGUUAUGCAAAAGUGUCACGUAUAAUGGAGCUAACAAGAACGUGAAUUCAUUGCCUGUCAGGCGAAGAAAUACGCGUUUUUCGUGUCGCGCACGAUCAACAUUUUUUUCACGCAGAGGACGAUUUGCUUCAUCGAAGAUGUCAGGCUCACGUCGCAGAUUAUAUGGUCAAGGAGUGACAUGGAAUGGACAGGAUGGAAGUGUCAAGGAUGAAAAGUAGGAAUACACUGCACGGCACCAUAUCAGGAUUACACCAACUUACCUGACACCGGUUGUUCUCAGACACAGGCUCGUGAAUGUAGAGUAUGUCCAGGAAGAAAUACUGUGACUGCAUCUUCAACUUCAACGUCUGAAAAUAUUUUGACAAGGAGGAUAAAUAUAGAAACAACUGAAUCUGGGAACAAAAGCAACUACUGAGUGUAAUCUCACAUAGUAAAGAU
This is a long non-coding RNA of Ornithodoros turicata, 554 nucleotides long. RefSeq lists it as uncharacterized. The record is from RefSeq and is a predicted model, not a curated record. The transcript has 3 exons. Lineage: Eukaryota; Metazoa; Arthropoda; Arachnida; Ixodida; Argasidae.